Molecule: microRNA precursor, 100 nt
Filed under: Cebus imitator (Panamanian white-faced capuchin)
Lineage: Eukaryota; Metazoa; Chordata; Mammalia; Primates; Cebidae
Description: miRNA (ENSCCAG00000019994.1)
Source: RNAcentral
UGAGGCAGGAGAAUUGCUUGAACCCAGGAAGUGGAGGUUGCAGUGAGCCGAGAUCAUGUCACUGCACUCCAGCCUGGGUGACACAGCAAGACUCCAUCUC